GAGCGGCAGCGGGUCCUUCGGGAUGCCGGCGAGCGGCGGACGGGUGAGUAAUGCCUAGGAAUCUGCCUGGUAGUGGGGGAUAACUCGGGGAAACUCGAGCUAAUACCGCAUACGUCCUACGGGAGAAAGCGGGGGAUCUUCGGACCUCGCGCUACCAGAUGAGCCUAGGUCGGAUUAGCUAGUUGGUGAGGUAAAGGCUCACCAAGGCUACGAUCCGUAGCUGGUCUGAGAGGAUGAUCAGCCACACUGGAACUGAGACACGGUCCAGACUCCUACGGGAGGCAGCAGUGGGGAAUAUUGGACAAUGGGCGAAAGCCUGAUCCAGCCAUGCCGCGUGUGUGAAGAAGGUCUUCGGAUUGUAAAGCACUUUAAGUUGGGAGGAAGGGCAGUAAGUUAAUACCUUGCUGUUUUGACGUUACCGACAGAAUAAGCACCGGCUAACUUCGUGCCAGCAGCCGCGGUAAUACGAAGGGUGCAAGCGUUAAUCGGAAUUACUGGGCGUAAAGCGCGCGUAGGUGGUUUGAUAAGUUGGAUGUGAAAGCCCCGGGCUCAACCUGGGAAUUGCAUCCAAAACUGUCUGACUAGAGUAUGGCAGAGGGUGGUGGAAUUUCCUGUGUAGCGGUGAAAUGCGUACAUAUAGGAAGGAACACCAGUGGCG
This 658-nucleotide ribosomal RNA is filed under the name Stutzerimonas balearica DSM 6083. RNAcentral's name for it is "bacterial SSU rRNA". It matches the Rfam family "Bacterial small subunit ribosomal RNA", at positions 64 to 717 of the family's 1533-position model. The record is from RNAcentral. Lineage: Bacteria; Pseudomonadati; Pseudomonadota; Gammaproteobacteria; Pseudomonadales; Pseudomonadaceae.